This is a long non-coding RNA of Astyanax mexicanus (Mexican tetra), 2794 nucleotides long. RefSeq lists it as uncharacterized. The record is from RefSeq and is a predicted model, not a curated record. Lineage: Eukaryota; Metazoa; Chordata; Actinopteri; Characiformes; Acestrorhamphidae. The transcript is spliced from 4 exons.
AUGGAAGAUGAUUGGUUGACCAGUCUCCAUAAAACAGCUGUGCUGCUUGUUCUUCUUUGUUGCAGCUCUGGAACUAACGAAAAUGGAAAAGAUUCAAUCCACCAAAUUUCAUUUGUCAUUUUUUAAUUUUUUAUCACAAUUAAAAAAUAUGGCUGCGGAUACUUUUUCAGGCAGUUUUUAUGAAGCCUCUUUGGCCCCUUGGGCUCGGCCCAAUAUUAUGUCUGCAUGUGAGGAAAGGCUGGAAUCUACACUUGGACCAGUUUAUUACAAUGGAGAAAUUACUGAAACCGUUCCUGAUGGGCCGCUAUUUUCCAACAGAAAACCAUGUAUUAUUAUAAUCAAAAAAUCUAAUGGCCGUUUUGUGAGAGGCCUUGGCUGUUUCUAUGGGAAUGGUCAUGUGCUGACUGCCUAUCAUGUUGUUAAAAAUGUGAAUCAUGGUUGUAAAAUAUUUGUCAUCUUCCCCACCUCAGAAACUUCAGAUAAGUUUCUGGUCUACAAAGCUUUUAGAAAAUUGGGCAACACCUACAAAGACAGAGAUCAGGCCUUUUUAAAACUAUAUGGGAAAACUUCUCCUCUGGGUGAUGGACUACAAAAUCAAAUUGAUAAAGUGUCUAAAAAUGUAUAUUUUUAUAUCUUAACAGAUUUAGGCCGCUUCCAAAAGCAAGAGUGCAAAGUAAAGCGACGUAAUUCAUGCAUAUUUGAAAUGUGUAAAUCAGGUAGAGCGGGGGACAGUGGCUCACCUAUUUUCUGUGAAAAAGGGAAAUGGAUUGGCGUAUAUCUUGGCGAGAAUAAAGAUCAGUUUGGUUUAGCUUCACAAGUUUUUUCUAACAUAACCCCCUGGUCCUCAUCUGGUCCUUAUCUGGAGUUAUGCGAUCAUAUUAUUUUUUGAUUUAAAUAUGUUUGGAAUCUCUUUUCUGUUUUUCCUUUUUAUAUUAUAUAUAUUUUAUAUUAUAUAUAUAAUAUUAUAAUGUAUAAUAAAAUAAUAAUUAAUAAACAAUGAAUAAAAAAAAUAGUUAAGCUAAUCAGACACUUUUUUCACAACUCUCUAACUGCUUAUCAAUAAAAAUAAAUAAAAAAUAAAUAAAAUAAAUAAAAAAUAUAAAAUUAAAUAUUAAAAAACUGAACAGUCAUUUUAUUAACUCAGUUUUUUUUAUUACAUUUCUUCUGUGAUAAAAAGCAAACAAACCAAAAAAAUAAUUAUAAAAAAAUACAAAUGUAUUUAAAAUAUAUACAGUUAGACAUUAACAAAUUCUCCAUGAUUAGGGCUCUGCAUUCCACCACACUGGAUUUAAAAUGAAAUAAAUUAGCUGUAUAUUUAAAUCUAUCCUAUUUAUCCCAUGAAAAAUGGCUGCAACUCCUAAACACUUCAUAUGAUAUUUGUGUUUAAAAUGUGAGCCCAGGUUAUGUAAAUUGUGUUUCUGUCCUGAGGUGGGUUUCCCGAAAACAAAUUAAUCCCCCAAAACAGAACGCUCAUUCGAACCACAAACAUUGAAUCAGCUCUGCCAAAUCUGCAGUAUUGAUUCAGUUUUACGCCUGAAAACUGUAGAAAUGUGUGAUGUUUUGUAAUCAAUAUCAUUAUUCUGAAAUUCAAAUACUCAAACACUUAAAUUACUAAACACAUAAAAAAUAUAUUUACAGUACCUUUUUAUGAUUUUUAACAUUGAAAAUGCAAUACCAAAAGCUAUUAAAAAGCUAGACAGAAACACAUACAGAGUUUAAUAAAAAAGUGUUAAACUACCCAGAAUAUGUUUUAUGCUUUUAGAAAAAAAAAAAAAAAAAUAUAUAUAUAUAUAUAUAUAUAUAUAUAUAUAUAUAUAUAUAUAUAUAUAUUCACGAGGUAGAUCACCUGAAAUGGUUUUCCAACAGUCUUGAAGGAGUUCCCAGAGGUGUUUAGCACUUUUUUGCCCCUUUGCCUUCUUCACUCUGUGCUUCAGCUCACCCCAAACAUCUGGAUUGUGUCCAGAUCCAGGUCCGGUGACUGUGGAGGCCAGGUCAUUUUUUGUUAAGUACAUAAAACUCCACAUGUGUUCAUUCAUAGUUUUGAUGCCUUCAGUGAGAAUCUACAAUAUAAAUAGUCAUGAAAAUAAAGAAAACACAUUGAAUGAGAAGGUGUGUCCAAACUUUUGGCCUGUAGUGUAGUUCGAAACCCACCCCAUAUAUUUUUGGGCCUAACUGUAAGCCAAACUGUAGAGAAAAUUAGGUUUAUGGGUUGAUAUUCUUUUCCACCUUCGUUACUUCGGGCUGCAACCCAGGGACUGGUCCUGUGUGUCUUUCAUGGCAUUCCUCCAGGAGGUGUGUCAUCCAUACUCAUGAAACCACUGGAACGCAGAUAAACUAGGUGAGGACAUCGUCUGCAGCCUCCUGUAUAUCUAACGCUGCCUCAACUCUGGGCUGCACACUGUGGAGGAGGAAAGAGUUAGAAAGACGUGACGAGAGGAGUUCAGUUGUGAUUUUGUUCAUUCGUCACACGAACAUCAAGAACUGCAACUGAGACCUCCCUCUACCCCAACACAUCUAACACACCAGCAGCAGCAGCACCAGGAGAGCCCUCCAAACCAGUUGUAUGAACAUCAAAAGCAACGAGUAGACCGUCUGCACAAUCUACUGUCCUCAUUCUGUGCUCACCAACAGCCAGCAGACUGCAUUCCAACAGCAGCAAUCAGAAACCAUGAGCUUAAAGAGACACACAAGAAGACCCUCCUUGUUAAAAAAAAUGCAUUGUUGCAUAGCUUGCUUAAAACAUGCAUUGUAAUGUAAUCUAAAGGAUUACUCUAAUAAAGUAAUAAAACCAGAA